Molecule: ribosomal RNA, 386 nt
Filed under: uncultured bacterium
Lineage: Bacteria
Description: partial 16S ribosomal RNA
Rfam family: Bacterial small subunit ribosomal RNA
Source: RNAcentral
UGGGGAAUUUUGGACAAUGGGCGAAAGCCUGAUCCAGCAAUGCCGCGUGUGUGAAGAAGGCCUUCGGGUUGUAAAGCACUUUUGUCCGGAAAGAAAUCCUUGGCUCUAAUACAGUCGGGGGAUGACGGUACCGGAAGAAUAAGCACCGGCUAACUACGUGCCAGCAGCCGCGGUAAUACGUAGGGUGCAAGCGUUAAUCGGAAUUACUGGGCGUAAAGCGUGCGCAGGCGGUUUGCUAAGACCGAUGUGAAAUCCCCGGCGUCAACCUGGGAACUGCAUUGGUGACUGGCAGGCUAGAGUAUGGCAGAGGGGGGUGAGAAUUCCACGUGUAGCAGUGAAAUGCGUAGAGAUGUGGAGGAAUACCGAUGGCGAAGGCAGCCCCUGGC